Molecule: long non-coding RNA, 781 nt
Filed under: Marmota monax (woodchuck)
Lineage: Eukaryota; Metazoa; Chordata; Mammalia; Rodentia; Sciuridae
Source: RNAcentral
AACCACAGCAUCCUUAGAGGCAGUUGACAUAUAAUAUGGUGGAAGCCCCCUUUCUCAUUGUAAUUUGGGAAGUAUUACAGACUGACAUCUACCUGCAGACUGCACUUUGAAAAGCAUGGACAUCUCAUGACUGAUACUUUUGCCAUCUUCACAAUCCAUACCAUUGAUAAUUACCAUUCUGCCUUAACCUUCAAAACAAUUCAAAUGUAUAAGAACCAUUUCAAGAAUAAUACAAAGAACUCCUAUAUACCUUUCAUUCAGACCCCUUUCCAGAUCCACUUGUGAGGUGCUGAUCCAAAAGGUCCGAUUCAUGAUCACAUAAUUUAGUCUCUUUCUAUCAGUAACUUUCUUCGGGUGUCAUGCCCUUGACCUUUAUGAAGAUUGUAUUUUGUGGGAUGAUGCUGAACUUGGGCUUGUCCUCUGCUUCUUCAUAAUUAUAGCCAGGUCAUGCAUUUUGGGCAAGUUUGACACAGAAGUGAUGCUGUGAUCUCCUUACUGCACUCUAUUAAGUGGCCUCUGGUGUUGACUGGUCUCAUUACUUACCAGUUUUAGUAACGUGAUCACUUGAUUGUCUUUCCCUGUUUUCCAUUAUAAAAUUACCUUUUAUUUUGUAAUUAACAAGUAUCAUGUAAAAAUUCCAUCGCUCAUUCCACUUUCACCCACUUAUUUGAACACCCAUCGAUAUUUCCUCUUGGAAUUAUCCUUGUGAUAUUUACUUAAUGGUAAUUUUCUAAUUGUAUCAUUCCCUCUAUAUUUAAUAGUUGAAAUCCUGUUGUACAAA